Molecule: ribosomal RNA, 438 nt
Filed under: uncultured bacterium
Lineage: Bacteria
Description: partial 16S ribosomal RNA
Rfam family: Bacterial small subunit ribosomal RNA
Source: RNAcentral
CUACGGGGUGCAGCAGUGGGGAAUUUUGCGCAAUGGGCGAAAGCCUGACGCAGCAACGCCGCGUGCGGGAUGAAGGCCUUCGGGUCGUAAACCGCUUUCAGCAGGGAAGAAGUUGACUGUACCUGCAGAAGAAGCUCCGGCUAACUACGUGCCAGCAGCCGCGGUAAUACGUAGGGAGCGAGCGUUAUCCGGAUUUAUUGGGCGUAAAGCGCGCGUAGGCGGCUUGCCAAGCGGGAUCUCAAAACCGAGGGCUCAACCCCCGGACGGAUCCCGAACUGGCAGGCUCGAGUUCGGUAGGGGAAGAUGGAAUUCCCAGUGUAGCGGUGAAAUGCGCAGAUAUUGGGAAGAACACCGAUGGCGAAGGCAGUCUUCUGGGCCGCAACUGACGCUGAGGUGCGAAGGCUAGGGGAGCGAACAGGAUUAGAUACCCCGGUAGUC